GAGGGAAUGAUGCACAAUGGCGGCAGAGCAUGAAUAUUCCUAUCGAAGCUGCAUAUUUACUGUGUCAGUCAGGAACCCACUCCUGAGGUUUCAGAAAGGAUACAGGUCUGUGAAAGGCACGGAUCCACUGCAGCUCCUACACAAGGAGGCAGAGAGGUGGCAGAGAACUAGAAGAAGGUAUCGCUGAAAUUUGGAGAAGAGGAAACCAGUGACAAUGAUUUCUGUUUUCAAUAAAUGGACAGGAGCAGAAGCUGGCUGUGAUUAACAGGUGAGUGGGUGCCGAGACAAUACAUGCAGCCAAAGUAGACAU
RNAcentral lists this long non-coding RNA (310 nucleotides) under Fukomys damarensis (Damara mole-rat). RNAcentral describes it as "lncRNA (ENSFDAG00000032210.1)". Lineage: Eukaryota; Metazoa; Chordata; Mammalia; Rodentia; Bathyergidae. The record is from RNAcentral.